This 938-nucleotide long non-coding RNA is filed under the name Homo sapiens (human). RNAcentral's name for it is "HSALNT0357979". Lineage: Eukaryota; Metazoa; Chordata; Mammalia; Primates; Hominidae. The record is from RNAcentral.
AGGAGAUCGAGACUAUCUUGGCUAACACGAUAUCCACGACUGUUACAGAUGCUUCGUGGAGGUUCAAAAAGACUACAGAUCAAGGCCAGUGACCUUCUACACAUGGUGGACACUCCAGCCUCUGCUCAAUCUCCAUCCACACUUAAAGGAAAUAGCCAACUCUUGGCCAACCUUCAGGCCUGGGAAGAGGCUCAAGCAGACACUGAAGACGGACUUAAGGCUGAAUAUGGCUGGAAUACUGCCCAAAUGAACUGACCAUUUUCCCAGUACUUUCAUCUUCAGAGAGAAGGCACUAAAAGUGGAUGGAGAGAAGACACAGAGGCUGGGCUGAAGGGGGAGGAAGCUGGGAGCCCUGCACAGGGCUACUGCACACUGGGACCUGCUCCUGGUUCAGCUCUGGAGGAAAGGCAUGACCAAGGACCAGGGUAUAUACACCAGACAACAGAGCCGUUUCAUUUUGGGGGCUCGUUUGGGAUCAGAAUCAGAAUGGAAGGUAGAAACAUCAGAGUGGCUAUACGAUGUCCGGAAGUGGUGGGUUCUUGGUCUCACUGACUUCAAAAAUGAAGACGAAGACGUGGACUCUGGCGGUGAGUGUUACAGUUCUUAAAGGCGGUGUGUCCGGAGUUCAUUCCUUAUAAUGUUGGGAGUUUCUUCCUUAUGGUGGGUUUGUGGUCUCGCUGGCUCCGGAGUGAAGCUGCAGACCUUCGCGGUGAGUGUUACAGCUCUUAAGGCGGCACGUCUGGAGUUGCUGGAUCCUCCCGGUGCGUUUGUGGUCUCGCUGACUUCAGGACUGAAGCUGCAAACCUUUGCCGUGAGUGUUACAGCUUAUAAAAGCAAUGUGGACCCACAGAGAGAACAGCAGCAAGAUUUAUUGGAAAGAGAUAAAGAAUAAGGCUUCCACACUGUGGGAGGGGACCGGAGGGGGUUGCCACUGCUGG